Molecule: ribosomal RNA, 714 nt
Filed under: uncultured Halomonas sp.
Lineage: Bacteria; Pseudomonadati; Pseudomonadota; Gammaproteobacteria; Oceanospirillales; Halomonadaceae
Description: bacterial SSU rRNA
Rfam family: Bacterial small subunit ribosomal RNA
Source: RNAcentral
UGACACUGACACUGAGGUGCGAAAGCGUGGGUAGCAAACAGGAUUAGAUACCCUGGUAGUCCACGCCGUAAACGAUGUCGACCAGCCGUUGGGUGCCUAGCGCACUUUGUGGCGAAGUUAACGCGAUAAGUCGACCGCCUGGGGAGUACGGCCGCAAGGUUAAAACUCAAAUGAAUUGACGGGGGCCCGCACAAGCGGUGGAGCAUGUGGUUUAAUUCGAUGCAACGCGAAGAACCUUACCUACUCUUGACAUCCUGCGAAUUUGGUAGAGAUACCUUAGUGCCUUCGGGAACGCAGAGACAGGUGCUGCAUGGCUGUCGUCAGCUCGUGUUGUGAAAUGUUGGGUUAAGUCCCGUAACGAGCGCAACCCUUGUCCUUAUUUGCCAGCGCGUAAUGGCGGGAACUCUAAGGAGACUGCCGGUGACAAACCGGAGGAAGGUGGGGACGACGUCAAGUCAUCAUGGCCCUUACGAGUAGGGCUACACACGUGCUACAAUGGUCGGUACAAAGGGUUGCCAACUCGCGAGAGUGAGCCAAUCCCGAAAAGCCGAUCUCAGUCCGGAUCGGAGUCUGCAACUCGACUCCGUGAAGUCGGAAUCGCUAGUAAUCGUGGAUCAGAAUGCCACGGGUGAAUACGUUCCCGGGCCUUGUACACACCGCCCGUUCACACCAUGGGAGUUGGGACUGCACCAGAAGUGGUUAGCCUAACGCCAA